AACAGGAUUAGAUACCCUGGUAGUCCACGCCCUAAACGAUGUCAACUGGUUGUUGGGAGGGUUUCUUCUCAGUAACGUAGCUAACGCGUGAAGUUGACCGCCUGGGGAGUACGGCCGCAAGGUUGAAACUCAAAGGAAUUGACGGGGACCCGCACAAGCGGUGGAUGAUGUGGUUUAAUUCGAUGCAACGCGAAAAACCUUACCUACCCUUGACAUGCCAGGAAUCUUGCAGAGAUGUGAGAGUGCUCGAAAGAGAACCUGGACACAGGUGCUGCAUGGCCGUCGUCAGCUCGUGUCGUGAGAUGUUGGGUUAAGUCCCGCAACGAGCGCAACCCUUGUCAUUAGUUGCUACGAAAGGGCACUCUAAUGAGACUGCCGGUGACAAACCGGAGGAAGGUGGGGAUGACGUCAGGUCAUCAUGGCCCUUAUGGGUAGGGCUACACACGUCAUACAAUGGCCGGGACAGAGGGCUGCCAACCCGCGAGGGGGAGCUAAUCCCAGAAACCCGGUCGUAGUCCGGAUCGCAGUCUGCAACUCGACUGCGUGAAGUCGGAAUCGCUAGUAAUCGCGGAUCAGCUUGCCGCGGUGAAUACGUUCCCGGGUCUUGUACACACCGCCCGUCACACCAUGGGAGCGGGUUCUGCCAGAAGUAGUUAGCCUAACCGCAAGGAGGGCGAUUACCACGGCAGGGUUCGUGACUGGGGUGAAGUCGUAACAAAGGUA
Molecule: ribosomal RNA, 723 nt
Filed under: uncultured bacterium
Lineage: Bacteria
Description: bacterial SSU rRNA
Rfam family: Bacterial small subunit ribosomal RNA
Source: RNAcentral